AGAAUCUCGUGUUUUUGUGUGGGU
This 24-nucleotide non-coding RNA is filed under the name Arabidopsis thaliana (thale cress). Lineage: Eukaryota; Viridiplantae; Streptophyta; Magnoliopsida; Brassicales; Brassicaceae. The record is from RNAcentral.